AUGGCGGGAUCCACCACCCGGCCGAUGGUGGCUAGCCUGGGCUGCUCCUCGCCACGACGUGGAGGCAUGGCGGCGACCCUAAGGGCGAGCCUAGUGGAAGCGCGAACAGCGACUGAGGAGGCAGUGAACGAGGUGGUGCUGCGGCAGGCUGCGCUGGUGGAGGACCUGCAGGGGCGCCCGGUGGCACGGGAGGCUGAGGCGAGCGGGACGAGCAGCUGGAGCAGGACGGCAACGUCGAGCUCAGCUGGGGCCUCCUCGGUGAUGCCUACGACCGCUGCAGCGAGGUCUCUGCCGAGUACGCCAAGACCUUCUACCUCGCUGAGCCCCUCACUCGUCACUCACUACUCUGUAACUCUGAUGAUGCUAAUCUGUAGUAGUUAA
Molecule: ribosomal RNA, 381 nt
Filed under: Triticum aestivum (bread wheat)
Lineage: Eukaryota; Viridiplantae; Streptophyta; Magnoliopsida; Poales; Poaceae
Description: partial small subunit ribosomal RNA
Source: RNAcentral